UCCAAAACCAGUUGCUGUCAA
This 21-nucleotide non-coding RNA is filed under the name Arabidopsis thaliana (thale cress). The record is from RNAcentral. Lineage: Eukaryota; Viridiplantae; Streptophyta; Magnoliopsida; Brassicales; Brassicaceae.